CCUACGGGAGGCAGCAGUAAGGAAUAUUGGUCAAUGGAGGCGACUCUGAACCAGCCAUGCCGCGUGCAGGAAGACGGCCCUAUGGGUUGUAAACUGCUUUUGAACUAGAGAAAACCUUGGUACGUGUACCGAGUUGAUAGUAUAGUUAGAAUAAGCAUCGGCUAACUUCGUGCCAGCAGCCGCGGUAAGACGAAGGAUGCAAGCGUUAUCCGGAUUCAUUGGGUUUAAAGGGUGCGUAGGCGGACUGAUAAGUCAGUGGUGAAAUCUCUCAGCUUAACUGAGAAACUGCCAUUGAUACUGUUAGUCUAGAGUACAGAUGAUGUGGGCGGAAUAUGACAUGUAGUGGUGAAAUACUUAGAUAUGUCAUAGAACACCGAUUGCGAAGGCAGCUCACAAAACUGUAACUGACGCUGAGGCACGAAAGUGCGGGGAUCAAACAGGAUUAGAUACCCUGGUAGUCCGCACCGUAAACGAUGAUUACUCGUUGUUGGCGAUAUGACAGUCAGCGACCAAGCGAAAGCGAUAAGAAUCCACCUGGGGAGUACGCCGGCAACGGUGAAACGUCAAAUGAAAUUGACGGCGNGAGACGNGCGACGGACGACACGAGGGGAGGAGG
This 616-nucleotide ribosomal RNA is filed under the name uncultured bacterium. RNAcentral's name for it is "bacterial SSU rRNA". It matches the Rfam family "Bacterial small subunit ribosomal RNA", at positions 338 to 959 of the family's 1533-position model. The record is from RNAcentral.